This is a long non-coding RNA of Oncorhynchus kisutch (coho salmon), 440 nucleotides long. RefSeq lists it as uncharacterized. The record is from RefSeq and is a predicted model, not a curated record. The transcript has 2 exons. NCBI's taxonomy places the organism in Eukaryota, Metazoa, Chordata, Actinopteri, Salmoniformes, Salmonidae.
GGGCCAUACCACUCUCCUACAGACUUUCCUUCACCAACUCCCAUCUGAGCUGCAAGUAGAAAAAAAAAUUAACACCAAGCUCACUCCAGAAGGUCUAAUUCAGGAUGGGCAACUGAUGGGGGUGGGGGCCACAACUAAAUCUGAACUCAUCAUGGGUGGGCCGCAGUGGCUCGCGGGUCUGCGUACCCAUAUCCUCACCUUGUGAGCAAAACAUUUUAGCGGCCCUCUUGACAGCGGAGAGAAAAAGUUUUAGUUAAUUUCCUGAAUCUACACAUUUUUCCAUGGGGCAGAGAAGAAAAAAAGGAAACAGUGGAGGAUACGAUGGUACUUCUCCGGCUGUCCUCCCUCUGCCCUCCAACGCCAGGCUACAGCAGGAGAACAGGCCACAAUCACUGUGUCAUUCCCCUACCCUGUCUAAUAAAACCCUUUUCUCUUUCUCA